AGGGAGUUUGAUCCUGGCUCAGGAUGAACGCUGGCGGCGUGCUUAACACAUGCAAGUCGAACGGAGUGUAAACGCUGAAGCGAUUUCGGUCAAUUCUUGUUUAUACUUAGUGGCGGACGGGUGAGUAACGCGUGGGUAACCUGCCGUAUGCAGGGGGACAACAGUUGGAAACGACUGCUAAUACCGCAUAAGCGCACAGAUAGGCAUCUAUCAGUGUGAAAAGAAUUUCGGCAUACGAUGGACCCGCGUCUGAUUAGCUAGUUGGUGAGGUAACGGCCCACCAAGGCGACGAUCAGUAGCCGGCCUGAGAGGGUGAACGGCCACAUUGGGACUGAGACACGGCCCAAACUCCUACGGGAGGCAGCAGUGGGGAAUAUUGGACAAUGGGGGAAACCCUGAUCCAGCGACGCCGCGUGAGUGAAGAAGUAUUUCGGUAUGUAAAGCUCUAUCAGCAAGGAAGAAAAUGACGGUACUUGACUAAGAAGCUCCGGCUAAAUACGUGCCAGCAGCCGCGGUAAUACGUAUGGAGCAAGCGUUAUCCGGAUUUACUGGGUGUAAAGGGAGCGUACACGGCAUAGCAAGUCUGAAGUGAAAUCCCGGGGCUCAACCCCGGAACUGCUUUGGAAACUGUUAAGCUGGAGUGCAGGAGAGGUAAGCGGAAUUCCUAGUGUAGCGGUGAAAUGCGUAGAUAUUAGGAGGAACACCAGUGGCGAAGGCGGCUUACUGGACUGUAACUGACACUGAGGGACGAAAGCGUGGGUAGCAAACAGAAUUAGAUACCCUGGUAGUCCU
This 792-nucleotide ribosomal RNA is filed under the name uncultured Bacillota bacterium. Its description in RNAcentral is "bacterial SSU rRNA". It matches the Rfam family "Bacterial small subunit ribosomal RNA", at positions 1 to 797 of the family's 1533-position model. Lineage: Bacteria; Bacillati; Bacillota. The record is from RNAcentral.